CGGCGAUUUCCGAAUGGGGAAACCCAGUGUGACUCGUCACACUAUCAUUAACUGAAUCCAUAGGUUAAUGAGGCGAACCGGGGGAACUGAAACAUCUAAGUACCCCGAGGAAAAGAAAUCAACCGAGAUUCCCCCAGUAGCGGCGAGCGAACGGGGAGGAGCCCAGAGCCUGAAUCAGCAUGUGUGUUAGUGGAAGCGUCUGGAAAGGCGCGCGAUACAGGGUGACAGCCCCGUACACAAAAGCGCAUGUGCUGUGAGCUCGAUGAGUAGGGCGGGACACGUGGUAUCCUGUCUGAAUAUGGGGGGACCAUCCUCCAAGGCUAAAUACUCCUGACUGACCGAUAGUGAACCAGUACCGUGAGGGAAAGGCGAAAAGAACCCCGGCGAGGGGAGUGAAAAAGAACCUGAAACCGUGUACGUACAAGCAGUGGGAGCACCCUUUGGGGUGUGACUGCGUACCUUUUGUAUAAUGGGUCAGCGACUUAUAUUCUGUAGCAAGGUUAACCGAAUAGGGGAGCCGGAGGGAAACCGAGUCUUAAUUGGGCGUUAAGUUGCAGGGUAUAGACCCGAAACCCGGUGAUCUAGCCAUGGGCAGGUUGAAGGUUGGGUAACACUAACUGGAGGACCGAACCGACUAAUGUUGAAAAAUUAGCGGAUGACCUGUGGCUGGGGGUGAAAGGCCAAUCAAACCGGGAGAUAGCUGGUUCUCCCCGAAAGCUAUUUAGGUAGCGCCUCGUGAAUUCAUCUCCGGGGGUAGAGCACUGUUUCGGCUAGGGGGCCAUCCCGGCUUACCAACCCGAUGCAAACUGCGAAUACCGGAGAAUGUUAUCACGGGAGACACACGGCGGGUGCUAACGUCCGUCGUGAAGAGGGAAACAACCCAGACCGC
This 889-nucleotide ribosomal RNA is filed under the name Salmonella enterica subsp. enterica serovar Typhimurium. RNAcentral's name for it is "partial 23S ribosomal RNA". It matches the Rfam family "Bacterial large subunit ribosomal RNA", at positions 105 to 1035 of the family's 2925-position model. The record is from RNAcentral. Lineage: Bacteria; Pseudomonadati; Pseudomonadota; Gammaproteobacteria; Enterobacterales; Enterobacteriaceae.